UAUCUCUAAUACUCUAAUACAAUCAAUUCACUUUUUCUUUGUCCAAAACAUCUAGAAAAU
Molecule: small RNA, 60 nt
Filed under: Arabidopsis thaliana (thale cress)
Lineage: Eukaryota; Viridiplantae; Streptophyta; Magnoliopsida; Brassicales; Brassicaceae
Description: ATSL160030
Source: RNAcentral